This 218-nucleotide long non-coding RNA is filed under the name Carica papaya (papaya). RNAcentral's name for it is "long non-coding RNA (CPAP_LNC001798)". The record is from RNAcentral. Lineage: Eukaryota; Viridiplantae; Streptophyta; Magnoliopsida; Brassicales; Caricaceae.
UAUCUACGGUCAAAAUUUCAAAUCUACAUCAACAAACGCAUGAAACUUAAAGUUUACUGUACCUCCCGUCUCUAUUUUCCUCUUUCCCUUGGCUUGCUCUGUCACCGUCCUCUGUCUCCUCUUCUCUCUCUCUUCUCGCUCCUCUCCGCCUCCCGUCUCCAUUUUUCUCCUUCCCUUGGCUUACUCUAUCACCGUCCUCUGUCUCCUCCUCUCUCUCU